UUAAGCGACUAAGCGUACACGGUGGAUGCCCUGGCAGUCAGAGGCGAUGAAGGACGUGCUAAUCUGCGAUAAGCGUCGGUAAGGUGAUAUGAACCGUUAUAACCGGCGAUUUCCGAAUGGGGAAACCCAGUGUGUUUCGACACACUAUCAUUAACUGAAUCCAUAGGUUAAUGAGGCGAACCGGGGGAACUGAAACAUCUAAGUACCCCGAGGAAAAGAAAUCAACCGAGAUUCCCCCAGUAGCGGCGAGCGAACGGGGAGCAGCCCAGAGCCUGAAUCAGUGUGUGUGUUAGUGGAAGCGUCUGGAAAGGCGCGCGAUACAGGGUGACAGCCCCGUACACAAAAAUGCACAUGCUGUGAGCUCGAUGAGUAGGGCGGGACACGUGGUAUCCUGUCUGAAUAUGGGGGGACCAUCCUCCAAGGCUAAAUACUCCUGACUGACCGAUAGUGAACCAGUACCGUGAGGGAAAGGCGAAAAGAACCCCGGCGAGGGGAGUGAAAAAGAACCUGAAACCGUGUACGUACAAGCAGUGGGAGCACGCUUAGGCGUGUGACUGCGUACCUUUUGUAUAAUGGGUCAGCGACUUAUAUUCUGUAGCAAGGUUAACCGAAUAGGGGAGCCGAAGGGAAACCGAGUCUUAACUGGGCGUUAAGUUGCAGGGUAUAGACCCGAAACCCGGUGAUCUAGCCAUGGGCAGGUUGAAGGUUGGGUAACACUAACUGGAGGACCGAACCGACUAAUGUUGAAAAAUUAGCGGAUGACUUGUGGCUGGGGGUGAAAGGCCAAUCAAACCGGGAGAUAGCUGGUUCUCCCCGAAAGCUAUUUAGGUAGCGCCUCGUGAAUUCAUCUCCGGGGGUAGAGCACUGUUUCGGCAAGGGGGUCAUCCCGACUUACCAACCCGAUGCAAACUGCGAAUACCGGAGAAUGUUAUCACGGGAGACACACGGCGGGUGCUAACGUCCGUCGUGAAGAGGGAAACAACCCAGACCGCCAGCUAAGGUCCCAAAGUCAUGGUUAAGUGGGAAACGAUGUGGGAAGGCCCAGACAGCCAGGAUGUUGGCUUAGAAGCAGCCAUCAUUUAAAGAAAGCGUAAUAGCUCACUGGUCGAGUCGGCCUGCGCGGAAGAUGUAACGGGGCUAAACCAUGCACCGAAGCUGCGGCAGCGACGCUUAUGCGUUGUUGGGUAGGGGAGCGUUCUGUAAGCCUGCGAAGGUGUGCUGUGAGGCAUGCUGGAGGUAUCAGAAGUGCGAAUGCUGACAUAAGUAACGAUAAAGCGGGUGAAAAGCCCGCUCGCCGGAAGACCAAGGGUUCCUGUCCAACGUUAAUCGGGGCAGGGUGAGUCGACCCCUAAGGCGAGGCCGAAAGGCGUAGUCGAUGGGAAACAGGUUAAUAUUCCUGUACUUGGUGUUACUGCGAAGGGGGGACGGAGAAGGCUAUGUUGGCCGGGCGACGGUUGUCCCGGUUUAAGCGUGUAGGCUGGUUUUCCAGGCAAAUCCGGAAAAUCAAGGCUGAGGCGUGAUGACGAGGCACUACGGUGCUGAAGCAACAAAUGCCCUGCUUCCAGGAAAAGCCUCUAAGCAUCAGGUAACAUCAAAUCGUACCCCAAACCGACACAGGUGGUCAGGUAGAGAAUACCAAGGCGCUUGAGAGAACUCGGGUGAAGGAACUAGGCAAAAUGGUGCCGUAACUUCGGGAGAAGGCACGCUGAUAUGUAGGUGAGGUCCCUCGCGGAUGGAGCUGAAAUCAGUCGAAGAUACCAGCUGGCUGCAACUGUUUAUUAAAAACACAGCACUGUGCAAACACGAAAGUGGACGUAUACGGUGUGACGCCUGCCCGGUGCCGGAAGGUUAAUUGAUGGGGUUAGCCGCAAGGCGAAGCUCUUGAUCGAAGCCCCGGUAAACGGCGGCCGUAACUAUAACGGUCCUAAGGUAGCGAAAUUCCUUGUCGGGUAAGUUCCGACCUGCACGAAUGGCGUAAUGAUGGCCAGGCUGUCUCCACCCGAGACUCAGUGAAAUUGAACUCGCUGUGAAGAUGCAGUGUACCCGCGGCAAGACGGAAAGACCCCGUGAACCUUUACUAUAGCUUGACACUGAACAUUGAGCCUUGAUGUGUAGGAUAGGUGGGAGGCUUGGAAGUGUGGACGCCAGUCUGCAUGGAGCCGACCUUGAAAUACCACCCUUUAAUGUUUGAUGUUCUAACGUUGACCCGUAAUCCGGGUUGCGGACAGUGUCUGGUGGGUAGUUUGACUGGGGCGGUCUCCUCCUAAAGAGUAACGGAGGAGCACGAAGGUUGGCUAAUCCUGGUCGGACAUCAGGAGGUUAGUGCAAUGGCAUAAGCCAGCUUGACUGCGAGCGUGACGGCGCGAGCAGGUGCGAAAGCAGGUCAUAGUGAUCCGGUGGUUCUGAAUGGAAGGGCCAUCGCUCAACGGAUAAAAGGUACUCCGGGGAUAACAGGCUGAUACCGCCCAAGAGUUCAUAUCGACGGCGGUGUUUGGCACCUCGAUGUCGGCUCAUCACAUCCUGGGGCUGAAGUAGGUCCCAAGGGUAUGGCUGUUCGCCAUUUAAAGUGGUACGCGAGCUGGGUUUAGAACGUCGUGAGACAGUUCGGUCCCUAUCUGCCGUGGGCGCUGGAGAACUGAGGGGGGCUGCUCCUAGUACGAGAGGACCGGAGUGGACGCAUCACUGGUGUUCGGGUUGUCAUGCCAAUGGCACUGCCCGGUAGCUAAAUGCGGAAGAGAUAAGUGCUGAAAGCAUCUAAGCACGAAACUUGCCCCGAGAUGAGUUCUCCCUGACCCUUUAAGGGUCCUGAAGGAACGUUGAAGACGACGACGUUGAUAGGCCGGGUGUGUAAGCGCAGCGAUGCGUUGAGCUAACCGGUACUAAUGAACCGUGAGGCUUAACCUU
RNAcentral lists this ribosomal RNA (2904 nucleotides) under Escherichia coli 5-172-05_S4_C1. RNAcentral describes it as "bacterial LSU rRNA". It matches the Rfam family "Bacterial large subunit ribosomal RNA". Lineage: Bacteria; Pseudomonadati; Pseudomonadota; Gammaproteobacteria; Enterobacterales; Enterobacteriaceae. The record is from RNAcentral.